This 305-nucleotide ribosomal RNA is filed under the name uncultured bacterium. Its description in RNAcentral is "bacterial SSU rRNA". It matches the Rfam family "Bacterial small subunit ribosomal RNA", at positions 334 to 637 of the family's 1533-position model. The record is from RNAcentral.
UUUACCUACGGGAGGCAGCAGUGAGGAAUAUUGGUCAAUGGACGAGAGUCUGAACCAGCCAAGUAGCGUGAAGGAUGACUGCCCUAUGGGUUGUAAACUUCUUUUGUCGGAGAACAAAACCCGGGACGUGUCCCGGACUGCGUGUAUCCGAAGAAAAAGCAUCGGCUAACUCCGUGCCAGCAGCCGCGGUAAUACGGAGGAUGCGAGCGUUAUCCGGAUUUAUUGGGUUUAAAGGGUGCGUAGGCGGUCCGUUAAGUCAGCGGUAAAAUUGCGGGGCUCAACCCCGUCGAGCCGUUGAAACUGGC